AUGACAAACAAACUGAUACCCUUGCAUCUGCUACUAACAAAUAAAUAACCGACCCGACUCCUCUUCUUCAAUAGGGAGUCUCAUUAAUCUCGUUCCCUCUUCCACCUCUGCGUUUAAAUCAAAGCUGAUCGAUCAGAAUUUAGAAGCAGUUAUUAAAGGUACAUAAAAAACAUAAUUAAAUUUUAGAGUGAAAAGAAAAAAGAGAGAGAAAUGGACGAAGAACUGCUGGAAUUGCAGAGGCAAUUUGAAUUCGCGCAGCAAGCAAAAUCCAGCAUUCGUCUGUCGGAGCGGAACGUCGUCGAAUUGGUACAGAAGCUGCAACAGCUCGGAAUAAUCGACUUCGAUCUCCUCCACACCACUUCUGGCAAAGAAUACAUCACUCCUGAACAAUUGAGAAAAGAAAUGGCUGCUGAGAUUAGGAAGUUAGGGCGUGUUUCCUUGAUUGAUUUAGCUGAUAUCACUGGCGUAGAUUUGUAUCACGUGGAGACACAAGCAGGGCAUAUAGUGUCCAAUGACUCAACGCUUAUGCUAAUAAAUGGAGAGAUCAUAUCAAAUUCGUACUGGGAUAUUGUUGCUGAGGAAAUCAAUGAAAGGCUUCAAGAAUGCAGUCAAAUUGUUUUAGCUGAGAUUGCUGCACAGUUGCAAGUUGGAUCUGAGCUAGUUGUGUCUGUUUUAGAACCUCGACUUGGGACUUUGGUCAAAGGUAGGCUUGAAGGUGGCCAGUUGUACACUCCAGCAUAUGUUGCACGUGUGAGUGCAAUGGUUCGCGGUGCUGCAAGGGGUAUUUUUGUUCCAACAAAUUUAUCAGCAUUAUGGAACUCAUUGCAAGAUUUGCUGCAAGAAACAGAUGGAGCUAGUGGUGUGGCUGUUGAAGGCUCCUUUUUCCAGUCACUUUUUAAUGGGUUGGUAAAGGAGGGUGAGAUUCUUGGUUCACUUCGUGCUGGAGUUCACUGGACACCUUCUGUCUUUGCUAUGGCUCAAAAGGAGUGUGUAGAUUCUUUCCUUUCACAGAAUUCUUACAUCAGUUAUGAAGCUCUACAGAAACUUGGAAUUCCACAACCUGUUCAAUAUCUUCAGGCCAGAUACCCUGAAGGUAUACCUCUAGUUACUUUAUUUGUGCAUCCAUCAAUAAUUGAGAUGUUGGAUGCUUCUGCUGAGGAUGCCAUAGAACGUGGUAGCUGGAUGGAUUCACUUUCUGUUUUACCAGCAUCCUUUGGUUCGCAAGACGCAUCCAAGAUUCUGUCACUUUGUCCGUCUGUUCAAAAGUCUCUUAAGUCUAGUAAGGCGAUUAUUCUGGGAGAAUCAUACAUAUUUAGCAAUGGAUUUGUCAAGGAUCUGUUUGAUCACUUGGAAAAAGGGAUAGAAACACUAAACCUUCCUGCUUUUGCUAGCACUGGACAAUCUGAUAAUUUGCAUGUCAUUAAAGAUGCUUCCGUUAGACAUGAUACACUACCUGAGUCAAAUGAAACUGGUACUGGAAAACAAGCUGUGGAGAAAGGAUCUAAGAAGAAAAAAGGAAAAUUCACCGGGAACACCAAAGUGGAGGCAGCUGAAAGUGAUCCCGAUUACCAUGAAUUAGCACCUACCAAGUCUAAGAAAAACCAGAAGAAAGGCAAGGCACCAACUUCUUUGCAAUUGUCUGAUUCAAAAUUAGGGCUGAGAAAAGAUGAUAGGAUGGAGGAAAGCCACAAUGCUAUUUCAGAAGAAUGGCUUAUUCCGAAGAUCAUGGCACUGAUUCCUGAUCUUGAAGAACAAGGCAUAGGUGAUCCUGAGACCAUUCUUGUACCUUUAGCGAGCUAUCUGAGACCUAUGCUUCUCAAUUCAUUGAAGGAGAGAAGAAAGGCAGCAUUUACACAAAAUGCACAGCGCAUGAAGCGUGUACUUGAUAAUUUGCAACACAAGAUUGAUGAGUCAUUCUUGAACAUACAACUGUAUGAGAAGGCACUGGAUUUGUUUGAAGAUGACCCAUCAACUUCAGUUCUUUUACAUAAACAUUUGCUACGAACCACAGCUACCUCCAUGGUGGAUACUCUACUACUUGACCUGGACAUACACAAUAAAUUGAGAAAUGGAAUGGAAGUUGAAGAACCCCAAAAGCCCAAAAAAUCUGAACCUGCAUCACUUAGUCCUGGAGAUAGGGCUGCACUUGCUAAAAGUUUAGCACGACCCCUUUCAGUCAAGGCACUUGCACUGGUUGAAGCCUUGGAGGCUAAGAGGGUUGAAACUUUUAUGACUGCUCUACGUGCAAUUGCAGAAGAAAGUGGGUUAAUUUUGAAGAAGCUUGAUAAGAAACUGGAAAGAAGUCUUCUGCAUUCGUAUCGUAAGGCUCCAGCCGCAAAUGGGCUUGGAAAGAGUGAGAUACAUGCAGUCUUAAUCUGGCAUGUAGAAAUGCUGUUUUCAUACUUCAAGCUCGUGCUGCCGGCUAUGGAGCCAUGGAUUUGACGUCUCAAAUUUCUGAUGAAACUGACCCUAUUUCCCUUCUACCAAAAGUUGUUUCUCUCCUUUAUGUACAGAUUCAUGGAAGAGCUCUCCAAGCUCCAGGAAGGGCAAUUUCAAUUGCAGUAUCUCGACUGAAGGAUAAAUUGGAUGAUCCAGCAUUUAAGGUCUUAGCUGAUUACCAAGCUGCAACUGUUGCUCUUUUAGCACUCAUGUCUGGGACAACUAGCUCUGAGGAAGAUUGUACAUCUGAUAGAAUUUUGAGCAAGAGGGAGCUGCUGGAGAAUUUGGUGCCUGCAUUGAAAGGUUUAGUGCUGGGUACAUCACAACCUUGAUUGGUGUAAAUCAACAUGCUAAAGUUUUCUUCGACAUGAAUGCUAGCAAUCCAUUUUCUUUCGUGUCAACCUGGAAUGACGAAAGAGAUAUUGGAAUGGUACACUGACUUCAGAAAGGUGACAAAAGUUUUUGACAGUUGAUGCCAUCUUUGGUAAUCAACGGUUGAAUGAGAGCAUUGUGUUUUAUCAAUCUCGGUCGGCCGAAACACAUGAACUGAAAAGUUGGCUGAUAUGUAGAUUUUUUUCGUUUGCCACAUGUAUUAUGCCUAAACCUAUUGAUAGCUUAAGCAAGUUCCGUUAUGUAUAUAUAUAGACCUAAACCCCAUGGCACG
Non-coding RNA from Coffea arabica (coffee), 3103 nucleotides. Lineage: Eukaryota; Viridiplantae; Streptophyta; Magnoliopsida; Gentianales; Rubiaceae. The record is from RefSeq and is a predicted model, not a curated record.